AUUGAACGCUGGCGGCAGGCCUAACACAUGCAAGUCGAGCGGAUGAAGGGAGCUUGCUCCUGGAUUCAGCGGCGGACGGGUGAGUAAUGCCUAGGAAUCUGCCUGGUAGUGGGGGAUAACGUCCGGAAACGGGCGCUAAUACCGCAUACGUCCUGAGGGAGAAAGUGGGGGCUCUUCGGACCUCACGCUAUCAGCUCAGCCUAGGUCGGAUUAGCUAGUUGGUGGGGUAAAGGCCUACCAAGGCGACGAUCCGUAGCUGGUCUGAGAGGAUGAUCAGUCACACUGGAACUGAGACACGGUCCAGACUCCUACGGGAGGCAGCAGUGGGGAAUAUUGGACAAUGGGCGAAAGCCUGAUCCAGCCAUGCCGCGUGUGUGAAGAAGGUCUUCGGAUUGUAAAGCACUUUAAGUUGGGAGGAAGGGCAGUAAGUUAAUACCUUGCUGUUUUGACGGUACCAACAGAAUAAGCACCGGCUAACUUCGUG
RNAcentral lists this ribosomal RNA (484 nucleotides) under uncultured bacterium. RNAcentral's name for it is "partial 16S ribosomal RNA". It matches the Rfam family "Bacterial small subunit ribosomal RNA", at positions 30 to 507 of the family's 1533-position model. The record is from RNAcentral.